GGAAUUUGCAGAAAUGGUCCAGGGACACAUUGUACUCAAGGCCAAGAGUUUCCAUUUUGUAAACUUGUUUGAAACGUUGAAACCCUGCUUAGAAUGCAUUUCUAUGCUAACAUAGAUGACAAUUAGUCCGUAGUCUAGGACUGGGCUAUCUUAUAGUCCCAUCUAAAGGUCUUUUAUGGUUCUUAGCCUAUAUAAGAUGGUUUUCCUUUCUAUUAUGAAUGCCAUGUUAUACUGCUGAUUUUGCCCUGAUGUGUUAGUUUUUCUGUUAAUUGUGCAGGAUAAGACAUUUGAACAUCCAUAUUUACAAGCCAUUGGAUCACACACGUAAGUGCUUUGUAUUUUUACCAGCAAUUUUAUUAAACAUAAUCUGGUUUUAUCCUCUUUGGUUUUGUCCGAGAAAAAUGUUAGUCUUGUUAUUUUCUCUCAUAAAUUUAGGAGUUAUCGUCAUUUGAUUCCUAUUUUUUUUGAUAAUUUAACAUGGAGUCUCGUGUAGGGGAUGCCUUUUUUAAGAUUUGUCGUGGGAGAUCUUUUAAUUAAGAGUUCCGAUUAAUUUUUUAUUUAGGAGAUUUUGAUGUUCAUUAUGCAAUUUUCUUGUCUGGAUAUUGUUUUAUCUGAAAUUUUCCUAGUGAAGAGUACUAAUAAGGUUAAUAGGACAUGAAGAGUGGAUGAUUGUAUAUAAUUGCCUAUGUAUUCUAGUUGUUUUCACUCAUGAAUUUGAAGUUAUUUGUGGUUGGGAUCUUCUUCUCUAUUCUUUGCAAUAUUUGCAGUGCUGAACUUCUUUCACAUCAUAUCCACUGCACGUUUUCUUAUUUUUCCUAUCAUAAAUGCUAACCACAUUUGCUUGCUAAGAUUUUGUAUCAGUGCUUCAUAAAUAUUAACCCCAAGUCCUUAAUUUUACCAAACCUUAACCCACCCACUUACAAGAGCAUAUCAAUACAGACCUGUAGUGCAUGUUUGCUUGCUUGAAGCUUACUCAUUCUCAUCGAUUUUGAAAUUGUACAUUGCUCAGUUAUCUCGUGCAUGCUUCUUUUCAAAAGGUGGUAUUUUUUUCCCCAUUCAUCAUAUUCUUUAGAUUGGUCUCUAGCUGCAAGGGCUAUUAUCAGCUGACGGACGUCAUUGUCUAUUAAAUCUUCCAGUCUCUGAUCAUUUAAACCUGCUCCUUUUGUGCUCAAGACUGAACCAGAUUGGUUAAAUAUUUUCCUUACCUGUAAUUGUACACUUUGUUUGUUAUCAUAAGAUGUGUUACCUUUAUAUUAUAAUUGCAUCAUUUGUUAAGGGAU
RNAcentral lists this unclassified non-coding RNA (1280 nucleotides) under Hevea brasiliensis (rubber tree). Lineage: Eukaryota; Viridiplantae; Streptophyta; Magnoliopsida; Malpighiales; Euphorbiaceae. The record is from RNAcentral.